GAUGAACGCUAGCGGAGGCCUAACACAUGCAAGCCGAGCGGUAGAGAUUCUUCGGGAUCUUGAGAGCGGCGUACGGGUGCGGAACACGUGUGCAACCUACCUUUAUCUGGAGGAUAGCCUUUCGAAAGGAAGAUUAAUACUCCAUAAUAUAUUGACUGGCAUCAGUUGAUAUUGAAAGCUCCGGCGGAUAGAGAUGGGCACGCGCAAGAUUAGCUAGUUGGUGAGGUAACGGCUCACCAAGGCGAUGAUCUUUAGGGGGCCUGAGAGGGUGAUCCCCCACACUGGUACUGAGACACGGACCAGACUCCUACGGGAGGCAGCAGUGAGGAAUAUUGGUCAAUGGGUGCAAGCCUGAACCAGCCAUCCCGCGUGAAGGACGACUGCCCUAUGGGUUGUAAACUUCUUUUGUAUAGGAAUAAACCUACCCUCGUGAGGGUAGCUGAAGGUACUAUACGAAUAAGCACCGGCUAACUCCGUG
This 478-nucleotide ribosomal RNA is filed under the name uncultured bacterium. Its description in RNAcentral is "bacterial SSU rRNA". It matches the Rfam family "Bacterial small subunit ribosomal RNA", at positions 28 to 507 of the family's 1533-position model. The record is from RNAcentral.